CGGUCCUUCAAAGCCAUGGAGGGAGGGAGACUGCAGACCAGCCAUUUGUACAAGAAACUUCUUUCCUUGAAUGCUUGACACAAUGCUGUCCAAACUCGACAGGCAGGUUACAAAGAAGAGUGACUGCUGAAGUUGCCAAUGGAAAGGGUGAUCCUUCAAGUUCCUUCUUCAUAAAAAAAUGUGCCAUAUGUCCUGGGCAUAUAGGCUGAAGAUGGAUGCCUUAAGAGUACAGAGUAAUCUUAGGACCCACUGUUUGUAGGGCUUCUGGGGAGGGAAUCUUAACCAUAUUGUGCCAGGAGAUGAGAGCCCUCUGGAAACAAAGUUCAAGCUUUGCCUCCACCACCACCCUGCCUCCAGUAGAAAGAAACUUCGAAGACUUCCCCAGGAGUGAGAUUUCCCACAAUGGGCUUCUGACUUCAAACUUUAACCAACCAAAUUCAGGACAGUACAAUAUGAUGACAGCAGAGUAGGAUGGAGACAAUUCAUCAAUUGAGUUUCACACUUCCUAAAUAUGACAAAGUUGUUUCAAGUUGA
RNAcentral lists this long non-coding RNA (534 nucleotides) under Cricetulus griseus (Chinese hamster). RNAcentral describes it as "lncRNA (ENSCGRG00015032402.1)". The record is from RNAcentral. Lineage: Eukaryota; Metazoa; Chordata; Mammalia; Rodentia; Cricetidae.